UACGUAGGUGGCGAGCGUUGUCCGGAUUUCCUGGGCGUAAAGCGCGCGCAGGCGGAUUGGUCAGUCUGGGGUGAAAUCUCACGGCUCAACUGUGAGCGGUCCCUGGAUACUGCCAGUCUUGAGGUGUCUAGAGGAGAGCGGAAUUCCCGGUGUAGUGGUGGAAUGCGUAGAUAUCGGGAAGAACACCCGUGGCGAAGGCGGUUCUCUGGGACGGUACUGACGCUGGGACGCGAAAGCGUGGGGAGCGAACAGG
RNAcentral lists this ribosomal RNA (253 nucleotides) under uncultured bacterium. Its description in RNAcentral is "partial 16S ribosomal RNA". It matches the Rfam family "Bacterial small subunit ribosomal RNA", at positions 524 to 776 of the family's 1533-position model. The record is from RNAcentral.